This is a microRNA precursor of Oryza sativa Japonica Group (Japanese rice), 206 nucleotides long. It matches the Rfam family "MIR812 microRNA precursor family". The record is from Rfam. NCBI's taxonomy places the organism in Eukaryota, Viridiplantae, Streptophyta, Magnoliopsida, Poales, Poaceae.
AAAAAAAUAAACCGUAGGUUUUCGUACCAAUGUUUGACUGUCCAUCUUAUAUGAAAUUUUUUAAUAAUUAGUAUUUUUAUUGUUGUUAGAUGAUAAAAUAUGAUUAAUACUUUAUGCGUAACUUAUCUUUUUAAUUUUUUUCAUAAUUUUUUUAAAUAAGACGGACGGUCAAACGUUGGAUAUGGAAACCAAGGUUUGUCUUUUUU